GAUGAACGCUGGCGGCGUGCCUAAUACAUGCAAGUCGAGCGAACGGACGAGAAGCUUGCUUCUCUGAUGUUAGCGGCGGACGGGUGAGUAACACGUGGAUAACCUACCUAUAAGACUGGGAUAACUUCGGGAAACCGGAGCUAAUACCGGAUAAUAUUUUGAACCGCAUGGUUCAAAAGUGAAAGACGGUCUUGCUGUCACUUAUAGAUGGGUCCGCGCUGCAUUAGCUAGUUGGUAAGGUAACGGCUUACCAAGGCAACGAUGCAUAGCCGACCUGAGAGGGUGAUCGGCCACACUGGAACUGAGACACGGUCCAGACUCCUACGGGAGGCAGCAGUAGGGAAUCUUCCGCAAUGGGCGAAAGCCUGACGGAGCAACGCCGCGUGAGUGAUGAAGGCCUUCGGAUCGUAAAACUCUGUUAUUAGGGAAGAACAUAUGUGUAAGUAACUGUGCACAUCUUGACGGUACCUAAUCAGAAAGCCACGGCUAACUACGUG
RNAcentral lists this ribosomal RNA (497 nucleotides) under uncultured bacterium. RNAcentral's name for it is "partial 16S ribosomal RNA". It matches the Rfam family "Bacterial small subunit ribosomal RNA", at positions 28 to 507 of the family's 1533-position model. The record is from RNAcentral.